RNAcentral lists this small RNA (286 nucleotides) under Terasakiispira papahanaumokuakeensis. RNAcentral's name for it is "Halomonadaceae bacterium PH27A 5' ureB small RNA". It matches the Rfam family "5' ureB small RNA". Lineage: Bacteria; Pseudomonadati; Pseudomonadota; Gammaproteobacteria; Oceanospirillales. The record is from Rfam by way of RNAcentral.
CUUCUUCGACUUGCUGUGGGCAAAUAAAAUGAAUAUGCGGAUCGAUGCCGCCUGCCGUCAAAAUUUUGCCCUCACCGGCAAUGACCUCGGUGCCGGGGCCAAUCACUAAGGUGACAUCCGGUUGGGUAUCGGGGUUACCGGCUUUGCCAAUACCGGCGAUACGACCUUUUUGAAGGCCCACGUCGGCUUUGACAAUGCCCCACCAAUCUAGAAUCAACGCAUUGGUGAUGACGGUAUCCAUCACGCUAUCAUCCGCCCGCUGGCUCUGGCCCAUGCCGUCACGAAU